RNAcentral lists this ribosomal RNA (245 nucleotides) under uncultured Bacteroides sp. RNAcentral's name for it is "partial 16S ribosomal RNA". It matches the Rfam family "Bacterial small subunit ribosomal RNA", at positions 524 to 768 of the family's 1533-position model. Lineage: Bacteria; Pseudomonadati; Bacteroidota; Bacteroidia; Bacteroidales; Bacteroidaceae. The record is from RNAcentral.
UACGGAGGAUGCAAGCGUUAUCCGGAUUUAUUGGGUUUAAAGGGAGCGCAGACGGGUCGUUAAGUCAGCUGUGAAAGUUUGGGGCUCAACCUUAAAAUUGCAGUUGAUACUGGCGUCCUUGAGUGCGGUUGAGGUGUGCGGAAUUCGUGGUGUAGCGGUGAAAUGCUUAGAUAUCACGAAGAACUCCGAUUGCGAAGGCAGCACACUAAGCCGUAACUGACGUUCAUGCUCGAAAGUGUGGGUAU